GCAGUGGUGGCCGAUGUGGUUAAGGCGAUUGACUAGAAAUCAAUUGGGGUCUCCCCGCGUAGGUUCGAAUCCUACCACUGCG
RNAcentral lists this transfer RNA (82 nucleotides) under Gigantopelta aegis. Its description in RNAcentral is "tRNA-Ser". It matches the Rfam family "tRNA". From Rfam's summary of the family: Transfer RNA (tRNA) molecules are approximately 80 nucleotides in length. Their secondary structure includes four short double-helical elements and three loops (D, anti-codon, and T loops). The record is from RNAcentral. Lineage: Eukaryota; Metazoa; Mollusca; Gastropoda; Neomphalida; Peltospiridae.